Molecule: long non-coding RNA, 501 nt
Filed under: Dromaius novaehollandiae (emu)
Lineage: Eukaryota; Metazoa; Chordata; Aves; Casuariiformes; Dromaiidae
Description: lncRNA (ENSDNVG00000014771.1)
Source: RNAcentral
AUGUUAAUGAACAUCAGGUGGAAAAAAACGUGGGCAUUCAAAUUAAGGACUGGAGUAAUAGUUAGAAAAGAAUGGGCCCUCGUUACCAAGCACAAAAACGUACCUUCAGGAGAAAGGCUCCCUGGCAUAGCAGGUGGGAUGGGAUAUCUGGGAGCAUGUUUAAGGACUGAGUACCAUUUCCAGGCAAAGGAAGUACUCUGUGCAAGCAAGAGCUGCAAAGUCAUUCCCUAAAUGAGACAGCGAGGAGGGGAAAAAAAAAAAGAAUCAAGGACUGAGUGCCAGAGUGAGAACAGACAGCAGAGGAGGAAUAAUGGGUGAGAGAAAGCUAAAGAGAAGACUCUGAAGGAUGAUAGCUCUUCUGGAUGAAAAGGCUGACUUGAAAUAAUUCAGGCUGUUCCUGCUCUGUGGUGCUCCUGGGGAAGCACCUGGCUUAAGGCAAUUUAUCCAGCUGUCAGCUUGUUUUCACACAGACAAUAAAUGCAUCCUGGGAUUGUGACUUCA